RNAcentral lists this ribosomal RNA (242 nucleotides) under uncultured bacterium. Its description in RNAcentral is "partial 16S ribosomal RNA". It matches the Rfam family "Bacterial small subunit ribosomal RNA", at positions 15 to 252 of the family's 1533-position model. The record is from RNAcentral.
GAUCAUGGCUCAGGACGAACGCUGGCGGCGCGCCUAACACAUGCAAGUCGAACGGAGCUUGAAGAGCUUGCUUUUUAAGCUUAGUGGCGAACGGGUGGGUAACGCGUGAGUAACCUGCCCUGGAGUGGGGGACAACAGUUGGAAACGACUGCUAAUACCGCAUAAGCCCACGGAUCUGCAUGGAUCUGCGGGAAAAGGAUUUAUUCGCUUCAGGAUGGACUCGCGUCCAAUUAGCUAGUUGG